UAACGGUAUGAUGUAAUACGUUAUAAAUAAGCGUUAUCUAUUAGUUGCAUACAUAACGGUUGAUUUAACUGUUAUCUAUGAGCGUCUAAAAAUUGUUAUGUAUUAUUUUUUAUAUUUAUUUUUAAAUUUAAUUCAAUUAAUAAAUAAAAAUUACAAAUUUUGAUAUCCUAAUCUACCCAAAUCGCGGUUCCCCCCAAAAUCUCUCCUAAUUUCUUCUCUCUCAUUUUCUUUUCACACACCACGAUAAUCACAGUUUCUUCUCCGGCGACCUCACCGGUUUGCUCCACCUGCUCGCCGCCGUCACAGCGCCAUCUCGGUCCCCUCUCUGUCUCAUCUCUCUUGCAUCCACACAAACAUAGUGCCGCCCCAAAUUUCUACUGGAAAAAAUCCCAAAAAUUUAUACAAAAAGCCCCAAAUUUCUCCUCUGAUUCCGUAGUUAACCGUCGAUUUGAGGUCGCUAGAACCCCACCACCGCCACACGCCGCCAUGGGCGCCGCAGAACCCGUAGUGUUGCAGGGAGGGAACGAGAAAUUGGAGAGAGAGAAUGUGGAGUUGAAGGAUUUGGAAAUGGGGGAGGCCAAUGUUCAUAGGGAAUCAGUGCAGACACAUCCCCAAAUACGUUUCACAUGUCGAGAAGGCAGAGAUUGAGCGCCACAAACCCUCUCAGGCUUGUGAUGGAUAAUGCGACGCGAGUCGCCUCUCCAGCUCGCCCCCCACCGCACCCGUCCCCGGCUCAGCCGCCGUCGCCGCCGCAGCGCGGCUCAUCCUCGCCCCCUCCUCCUUCUCCUCCCAUGGAGCAGCCGCCGCCGUAGCAAACUCGCUCCAUACCCGCCCCACAGUGCACAUGGUGGCAGCGGUGGGGCUGGUGGGGUUCUUAAUAUUUAGGGGCGUGAAAGGGUUGUUGGAGGAAGGCCGAACUCGCCGGAGAGAGAAGCGCAUGUUGAAGUAUUUCCUACCUCAA
Molecule: long non-coding RNA, 961 nt
Organism: Salvia miltiorrhiza (redroot sage)
Lineage: Eukaryota; Viridiplantae; Streptophyta; Magnoliopsida; Lamiales; Lamiaceae
Exons: 3
Source: RefSeq, a predicted model, not a curated record